Molecule: ribosomal RNA, 519 nt
Filed under: Clostridioides difficile
Lineage: Bacteria; Bacillati; Bacillota; Clostridia; Peptostreptococcales; Peptostreptococcaceae
Description: bacterial SSU rRNA
Rfam family: Bacterial small subunit ribosomal RNA
Source: RNAcentral
UAGUUGGUAAGGUAACGGCUUACCAAGGCGACGAUCAGUAGCCGACCUGAGAGGGUGAUCGGCCACAUUGGAACUGAGACACGGUCCAAACUCCUACGGGAGGCAGCAGUGGGGAAUAUUGCACAAUGGGCGAAAGCCUGAUGCAGCAACGCCGCGUGAGUGAUGAAGGCCUUCGGGUCGUAAAACUCUGUCCUCAAGGAAGAUAAUGACGGUACUUGAGGAGGAAGCCCCGGCUAACUACGUGCCAGCAGCCGCGGUAAUACGUAGGGGGCUAGCGUUAUCCGGAUUUACUGGGCGUAAAGGGUGCGUAGGCGGUCUUUCAAGUCAGGAGUGAAAGGCUACGGCUCAACCGUAGUAAGCUCUUGAAACUGGGAGACUUGAGUGCAGGAGAGGAGAGUGGAAUUCCUAGUGUAGCGGUGAAAUGCGUAGAUAUUAGGAGGAACACCAGUUGCGAAGGCGGCUCUCUGGACUGUAACUGACGCUGAGGCACGAAAGCGUGGGGAGCAAACAGGAUUAGAU